RNAcentral lists this ribosomal RNA (497 nucleotides) under uncultured bacterium. Its description in RNAcentral is "partial 16S ribosomal RNA". It matches the Rfam family "Bacterial small subunit ribosomal RNA", at positions 28 to 507 of the family's 1533-position model. The record is from RNAcentral.
GAUGAACGCUGGCGGCGUGCCUAAUACAUGCAAGUCGAGCGAACAGACGAGGAUCUUGCUUCUCUGACGUUAGCGGCGGACGGGUGAGUAACACGUGGAUAACCUACCUAUAAGACUGGGAUAACUUCGGGAAACCGGAGCUAAUACCGGAUAAUAUUUUGAACCGCAUGGUUCAAUAGUGAAAGACGGUCUUGCUGUCACUUAUAGAUGGAUCCGCGCUGCAUUAGCUAGUUGGUAAGGUAACGGCUUACCAAGGCAACGAUGCGUAGCCGACCCGGGAGGGGGGUAGGCCCCACUGGAACCUGAAACCCGUCCCGGCUUCUAAGGGAGGGCACAGUUGGGAAAUCUACGCAAAUGGGGGAAAGCUUGCCGAACCACCGCGGGGGGGUUGAUGAAGGUCUUCGGUCGGAAAAACGCGUUUAUAGGGGAAAACCAAUUUUGAAGGUAACUGUGCAGGUCUGACGGUAACGUAUAAAGAAGCCCCGGCUAACUACGUG